CAUAUGGAUUGUGUCAGCAGCCGCGCGGUAAUACGAAGGGACCUAGCGUAGUUCGGAAUUACUGGGCUUAAAGAGUUCGUAGGUGGUUGAAAUAGUUGGUGGUGAAAUCCCAGAGCUUAACUCUGGAACUGCCAUCAAAACUUUUCAGCUAGAGUAUGAUAGAGGAAAGCAGAAUUUCUAGUGUAGAGGUGAAAUUCGUAGAUAUUAGAAAGAAUACCAAUUGCGAAGGCAGCUUUCUGGAUCAUUACUGACACUGAGGAACGAAAGCAUGGGUAGCGAAGAGGAUUAGAUACCCUCGUAGUCCAUGCCGUAAACGAUGUGUGUUAGACGUUGGAAAUUUAUUUUCAGUGUCGCAGCGAAAGCGAUAAACACACCGCCUGGGGAGUACGACCGCAAGGUUAAAACU
This 406-nucleotide ribosomal RNA is filed under the name uncultured bacterium. Its description in RNAcentral is "bacterial SSU rRNA". It matches the Rfam family "Bacterial small subunit ribosomal RNA", at positions 494 to 901 of the family's 1533-position model. The record is from RNAcentral.